UGGUGUAGCUCAGUUGGUAGAGCAGCGCAUUCGUAAUGCGCAGGUCGUCGGUUCGAGUCCGACUACC
Molecule: transfer RNA, 67 nt
Filed under: bovine gut metagenome
Rfam family: tRNA
About the family: Transfer RNA (tRNA) molecules are approximately 80 nucleotides in length. Their secondary structure includes four short double-helical elements and three loops (D, anti-codon, and T loops).
Source: RNAcentral